UACGAAGGGGGCUAGCGUUGUUCGGAAUUACUGGGCGAAAAGCGCGCGUUGGCGGAUUCUUAAGUCUGGGGUGAAAGCCCGGAGCUCAACUCCGGAACUGCCUUGGAUACUGGGAGUCUCGAGGAUGGAAGAGGUCAGUGGAAUGCCGAGUGUAGAGGUGAAAUUCGUAGAUAUUCGGCGGAACACCAGUGGCGAAGGCGACUGGCUGGUCCAUUUCUGACGCUGAGGUGCGAAAGUGUGGGGAGCAAACAGG
Molecule: ribosomal RNA, 253 nt
Filed under: uncultured bacterium
Lineage: Bacteria
Description: partial 16S ribosomal RNA
Rfam family: Bacterial small subunit ribosomal RNA
Source: RNAcentral